RNAcentral lists this ribosomal RNA (305 nucleotides) under uncultured bacterium. RNAcentral describes it as "partial 16S ribosomal RNA". It matches the Rfam family "Bacterial small subunit ribosomal RNA", at positions 508 to 807 of the family's 1533-position model. The record is from RNAcentral.
ACAGCAGCCGCCGCGGUAACACGGAGGGUGCAAGCGUUAUCCGGAUUUAUUGGGUUUAAAGGGUCCGUAGGCGUAUCUGUAAGUCAGUGGUGAAAUCUCACAGCUUAACUGUGAAACUGCCAUUGAUACUGCAGGUCUUGAGUAAAUUUGAAGUGGCUGGAAUAAGUAGUGUAGCGGUGAAAUGCAUAGAUAUUACUUAGAACACCAAUUGCGAAGGCAGGUCACUAAGAUUUAACUGACGCUGAUGGACGAAAGCGUGGGGAGCGAACAGGAUUAGAUACCCCAGUAGUCCCUGUCUCUUAUAC